UAAUUCCCAGAUUCAAAGCUCCCCUUGCCUGUUUUGAGAUUCGGAGGGAAAGCCUGUGAUUCGGUUCCCCUCCAUCCUCCAGACCAGUCUGAAGGUUAUGGUCCAUGGUCCGAGGGUUCGUUUUUUCCCCCCUUCACUUCUCUACCGGUUACUCCUCCCCACAAAUACUCUGAGGCCUGGUUAGAAAUUGGGGGUGGUUAGGUAAUGGGGGGGCGUGUUGCUGGUUCUUAGGGUCGAUCUGGGAGGGUUUGUCUGAGGAGGCUUCGCUAGGCUGCACCCAGGUCUUUGCCAGGGAAGAGGGAGGACUUUGUCAGAGGUCCUUUCUGUCAGCGGCCUCCUGUGAUGUCAGAUCCACAGCUCUGCUGUUUCGGCUGUGAACUCGGUGCAGGGGUUGUGUAUCCUUCAACAUCUCAUAGGAAGCACAGUACAGUGUCAUGUCUGAUAAAUAAUAAAUAAUAAUAAUCUACUGAAGGUAGCAGAACUGUCAGAGAAGAGAAGGGAAGACAGCAGGGAGAGAGCCCAUUGGUGUUACAGUGACUGCAUUUCCUGGGGGGGGGGGGAUAUCAGAUGAGGUUUUGGUGUAUGAAAGCUUGACAGGUGGGUUGGGGGUGCAGAGUGCUUGUAUCCCACAGGAGGCUACCCCAUGACAGGACAUCAAUGUGACAUUAAGACAGUGACAGAGGCUCUUCAAAGGGAGAUAGGGUGGGAGCUGGAGGGAAAAGCAGCUCCUAGAAGUCCUCAAAGUACGCCGGAAGGUGAAUGAUAGGUGUGGCCUGAAUACUAAGUUGGCAAGAUAGUGAAAGAGGUACCAGAAGGAGAUAGUAGGGGAGAGAAGCAGGGGUCACUUGCGAUUUGAAAUAGAUGCAGAGGCAACAUCUCAGCCAGAGAGAAGAACAAGGCCACGGGCAAGCCAGUUGCGUGGGAAGCCAUCCUCUGAGAUGAUCUGCGUGUGCACAUCACAGGAGUCCACCAGCUAAAUUCCGGGCAGCUUCCUGUACAGUAGCUGUUGGCACUACAGAAAGUGGCCAAGGUUUGUAGGGUCUGAAAUAGGUUAAAUGCUGGCAAUUUGGACAUGAGUCAUUUCUGACCAACUGUUUUGAACAAUCCUGAAGUGAAUAUUCAUUGGGACAGCACAUUCCGGGAAUCCGUCCUCAGCUCUCUUUAGAACUUCUGAAGCUGCACCACACACUUUCUGUACCCAGGAGGAAGAACUCCUGACUACAUGGCCAGUGGAAAGAUGAAUGUCAACAACAUGACACAGAGGCUUCUCUGCUGGAACCAGUGGUGACAAGGAGUCAAGCCCUGCACGGUGGGUGGUGCAGUAUCAGAAGCAGGUACUUAAGUCACUCUGCAUGAGGAUAUGCAGUGGAGGACAAUGCCUCCCCUCCAGCUGUCCUUCGCUUGGAACCCACAGCAUGUUUCUCCAACUGUCAUUUGGGUUGUCUAUGCUGAUUUCCCAGCCUGGGUCUUCAUUACUCAUUGUGCUGAAUGCUUGGCUGGACUUCGCACCACGUUCUGCUGAAGACUGGGUCCUGUCCUGUGCCCAUGCCGGAUGCUCGAGUUCUCUUUCAACAAAGCUGAACUUGCACUGCAACAAAGCUGCUGUCACCAAAGGGACUUUGCCAGUUGGCACAAUCCUGAAUCUCCUGUGGUGGUGUGUACCCUUCUAUAAUAGAAACUCUAGACUAUUGUAGGUAGUGGAAGGGCUGAAAUUCAAGUGAAAUACUGAUGCAUGCAAGAAAAUGAAGCUUUAGGACAUUUUCCAGAACUGGUUUGAUCUUUCUUUCUUGGGACAGUAGGAAAAAUGCCCGUGAUACACAAGAUGCCCACAAUGCCUACCAUAGUCACCACCCAGACCAACUAACCAGAUUUCUUCUCAUUCAGAACUCCCCAGAGAAAGGGAAAAUGAAAACCCUGGUCAGAAUGGCUAUCACCAAGAAAGCAAAUGACGACAAACGCUGAUAAAGAUGCAGAAAAAGAGAAACCCCUGCACACUGCUGGCUGGGGGGCAAAGUAGUGCAGCCUGUGAAAAUAAGUAUGGCGGCUUCUCCAAAAAGAAGAAAAAGCAAGAAAAAAAGAAAAAGAGAAGCAUCACUAAUGAAUAUAUACCCAAAGGAUGCUAAGUCAGCACACCACAGGGAUAAGGAUAAGGGCAUUUUCAGGCUUCUGACUCUCCUACUUGCAACACUUGAGACAAGGAAUUGAUUUAGAAUGGGUUAAAAAUAUGGUAGAUAUACACAGUGAAUUUUUUUUUUUUUGUCUAUAAAAAAGAAUGAGUAACAUUUUCAGGAAAAUAGGACUGGAGAUAAGCAUGUUUAGUGAAGUAAACCAGACUCAGAGACACAACAUUUUUUAUUUUAUUUUAUAUACAGAGUCUAGACUUAAAUUAUAUUUAAUCUCUUAAUAUAUGAUCUCUGUCUGUAUAUGUUAUACAUAUGUCAGACAUGAAAGUGAAAGGGAGACUGUGCAAGAGGAGGAAGAGUUCUAAAGAAGAAGGUAAUGGAAGAGAGGAUAAUGGACCCUAAGUGGCAUAAAAACAGAAGAGGAGCCAUUAGGGCCCGGUGGGGGACUUGCAGAAAGUGGGGGAGGGUGGGAGAGGGCUGUGGGAGGGGCAACAAGAAUAAAGUAAAUGACAUAUGUGCGGAAAUAUGACAACAAACCCAUGACUGCUUGUAUGCUAACUUAAACAGCAACAUUUAAAAAUAAAUAAAUAAACCCCAAAACUGUUCUUGGGCAGGCCAGCUGGCUACAUGGGUAAAGGUCCUCUCUUUUAUGCUCAGUGACCUGGGAUGAGUUCCCAGAGUCCUCUUAGUGGAAGGAGAGAACUGACUCCUGCAAGCUGUCCUCUGGCCU
Molecule: long non-coding RNA, 2853 nt
Organism: Meriones unguiculatus (Mongolian gerbil)
Lineage: Eukaryota; Metazoa; Chordata; Mammalia; Rodentia; Muridae
Exons: 4
Source: RefSeq, a predicted model, not a curated record